Molecule: ribosomal RNA, 497 nt
Filed under: uncultured bacterium
Lineage: Bacteria
Description: partial 16S ribosomal RNA
Rfam family: Bacterial small subunit ribosomal RNA
Source: RNAcentral
GAUGAACGCUGGCGGCGUGCCUAAUACAUGCAAGUCGAGCGAACAGACGAGGAGCUUGCUCCUCUGACGUUAGCGGCGGACGGGUGAGUAACACGUGGAUAACCUACCUAUAAGACUGGGAUAACUUCGGGAAACCGGAGCUAAUACCGGAUAAUAUAUUUAACCUCAUUUUUCAAUAGUGAAAUACGUUUUUUCUUUCACUUAUAGAUGGAUCCUCGCCUCAUUAGCUAGUUGGUAAGGUAACUGCUUACCAAGGCAACUAUGCGUAGCCGACCUGAGAGGGUGAUCGGCCACACUGGAACUGAGACACGGUCCAGACUCCUACGGGAGGCAGAAGUAGGGAAUCUUAAGCAAAGGGCGAAAGCCUGAAGGAGAAAAGAAGAGUGAGUGAUGAAGGUCUUCGGAUCGUAAAACUCUGUUAUUAGGGAAGAACAAAUGUGUAAGUAACUAUGAAAGUCUUGAAGGUACCUAAUAAGAUAGCAAAGGAUAAAUAAGUG